GACAUUUGGUAGAGACUGUUGAAGCCACCUGGUCCCAGCAGACCCCAGAAGGCAGCCACAUUCGCUGGUGCUGGAACAAGGUCAUUAAGGGUGAAGCCUGGUGCCAGAUGUGU
Ribosomal RNA from Panthera pardus (leopard), 113 nucleotides. NCBI's taxonomy places the organism in Eukaryota, Metazoa, Chordata, Mammalia, Carnivora, Felidae. The record is from Ensembl.